GGCGGCAGGCCUAACACAUGCAAGUCGAGCGGUAGCGGGCCUGACCACUCUCGAGUGGUUCAGGCGCCGACGAGCGGCGGACGGGUGCGUAACACGUAGGAAUCUGCCCGGUAGUGGGGGAUAGCCCGGAGAAAUUCGGAUUAAUACCGCAUACACCCUAAGGGGGAAAGCAGGGGAUCUUCGGACCUUGCGCUAUCGGAUGAGCCUGCGUCGGAUUAGCUAGUUGGUGGGGUAAAGGCCUACCAAGGCGACGAUCCGUAGCUGGUCUGAGAGGAUGAUCAGCCACACUGGGACUGAGACACGGCCCAGACUCCUACGGGAGGCAGCAGUGGGGAAUAUUGCACAAUGGGCGAAAGCCUGAUGCAGCCAUGCCGCGUGUGUGAAGAAGGCCCUAGGGUUGUAAAGCACUUUCAGUGGGGAGGAAAGGUCGAAGGUUAAUACCCUUUGGCUGUGACGUUACCCACAGAAGAAGCACCGGCUAACUCCGUGCCAGCAGCCGCGGUAAUACGGAGGGUGCGAGCGUUAAUCGGAAUUACUGGGCGUAAAGCGUGCGUAGGCGGCCAUUUAAGUUGGAUGUGAAAGCCCCGGGCUCAACCUGGGAACUGCAUCCAAAACUGGGUGGCUUGAGUGCGAGAGAGGAGUGUGGAAUUUCCUGUGUAGCGGUGAAAUGCGUAGAUAUAGGAAGGAACACCAGUGGCGAAGGCGACACUCUGGCUUGACACUGACGCUGAGGUACGAAAGCGUGGGGAGCAAACAGGAUUAGAUACCCUGGUAGUCCACGCCGUAAACGAUGUCUACUAGUUGUCGGUGGUCUUGUACUGCUGGUAACGCAGCUAACGCGAUAAGUAGACCGCCUGGGGAGUACG
Molecule: ribosomal RNA, 866 nt
Filed under: uncultured bacterium
Lineage: Bacteria
Description: bacterial SSU rRNA
Rfam family: Bacterial small subunit ribosomal RNA
Source: RNAcentral